UGGGGAAUUUUGGACAAUGGGGGAAACCCUGAUCCAGCCAUCCCGCGUGUGCGAUGAAGGCCUUCGGGUUGUAAAGCACUUUUGGCAGGAAAGAAACGUCAUGGGUUAAUACCCCGUGAAACUGACGGUACCUGCAGAAUAAGCACCGGCUAACUACGUGCCAGCAGCCGCGGUAAUACGUAGGGUGCAAGCGUUAAUCGGAAUUACUGGGCGUAAAGCGUGCGCAGGCGGUUCGGAAAGAAAGAUGUGAAAUCCCAGAGCUCAACUUUGGAACUGCAUUUUUAACUACCGGGCUAGAGUGUGUCAGAGGGAGGUGGAAUUGCGCGUGUAGCAGUGAAAUGCGUAGAUAUGCGGAGGAACACCGAUGGCGAAGGCAGCCUCCUGGGAUAUCACUGACGCUCAUGCACGAAAGCGUGGGUAGCAAACAGG
RNAcentral lists this ribosomal RNA (429 nucleotides) under Acidobacteriota bacterium. Its description in RNAcentral is "Acidobacteria bacterium partial 16S ribosomal RNA". It matches the Rfam family "Bacterial small subunit ribosomal RNA", at positions 355 to 776 of the family's 1533-position model. Lineage: Bacteria; Pseudomonadati; Acidobacteriota. The record is from RNAcentral.